AUACUUACAUGGCAGGGGGAAAUACCAUGAUCACAAAAGUUGUUUUCCCAGGAUAAGGCUUAUCCAUUGAACUCUGUGUGUGCCAACCCCUGCAAUUUCUCCAAAUGUGUGAAACUGUUCUGCAUAAUUUGUGGUAGUGGGGGACUGUGUUCAUGCUCUUCCCAA
Dasypus novemcinctus (nine-banded armadillo) is the source of this 165-nucleotide small nuclear RNA. Its record names the gene U1. It matches the Rfam family "U1 spliceosomal RNA". Rfam says of the family: U1 is a small nuclear RNA (snRNA) component of the spliceosome (involved in pre-mRNA splicing). Its 5' end forms complementary base pairs with the 5' splice junction, thus defining the 5' donor site of an intron. The record is from Ensembl. Lineage: Eukaryota; Metazoa; Chordata; Mammalia; Cingulata; Dasypodidae.